CUUGGUCAUUUAGAGGAAGUAAAGUCGUAACAAGGUUUCCGUAGGUGACCCUGCGGAAGGAUCAUUA
RNAcentral lists this ribosomal RNA (67 nucleotides) under Onnia tomentosa. RNAcentral's name for it is "partial 18S ribosomal RNA". It matches the Rfam family "Eukaryotic small subunit ribosomal RNA", at positions 1764 to 1831 of the family's 1831-position model. The record is from RNAcentral. Lineage: Eukaryota; Fungi; Basidiomycota; Agaricomycetes; Hymenochaetales; Hymenochaetaceae.